GAAGGUACAGCUCAGUGGUAGAGCGUGUGCUUAGCAUGCACAAGGUCCUAGGUUCAAUCCCUGUACCUCCA
Molecule: transfer RNA, 71 nt
Filed under: Camelus bactrianus (Bactrian camel)
Lineage: Eukaryota; Metazoa; Chordata; Mammalia; Artiodactyla; Camelidae
Also listed under: 1 other name
Rfam family: tRNA
About the family: Transfer RNA (tRNA) molecules are approximately 80 nucleotides in length.
Source: Rfam by way of RNAcentral